UGUCUCGCAAAACUCCAGAUCCUCUCUCUCUCUCUCUCUCUCUCUCUCUCUACGACUCAAGAACAUCAUGCCAGAUCUCUCAUCAGAUGUCGUUUCAUGACAAGAUCGUUGAAGUGGUUCCGACACCUGAGCCCAGGUGGAGGAGACUAGGGUUUCGGCGAAGAUAAAGCCAUCGGAGGCUGAACCACCGGUGCAGGUAUCAUCUUCAUCAUCUAAACUAUCAUUGUUGGGAACACGGAUGCCGUUUAUUGUUUACAAUUAGAUCCAUUGGCAGCUAUUGAACCAUCUUUCUUCAAGGUUGAAAACCCAAUUAAUUGAGAUGUACGAUAGAUUACGGGUCGGAGCGGUUGCAGGCGGAACAUAUCCAGCAAUUGGAGUGGAUACAACCUGGUUAAGAAACAGGGCUCGAAGGCGGUAUACCUUCCAUAAAAUGGUCUGGUGUAGAUGGAGAGGAUAAUGUUUUAAUUAUUGAUUUGCUAGGACCGAGUCUUGAGGACCUGUUUGUGUACUGUGGGAGGAAAUUUCAAUUGAAAACAGUCUUGAUGUUGGCUGAUUAAAGGAAUUUCGAAUAUAUACCCUACAAGAGUAAGAAUUUGAAGACUCGAGCCAUUAAUGCUGAAAGACCAUUGAUGGGGAAUGAAAUGUAAAGAAGCACUUACAAAUUUUGGCUUUGAUACUGCCUAUAAGGUAUUUUCUUUUAUGUCCUUCGUUUUCAUGUCAUUGUUAUAUUCUAAUGCUUCU
Helianthus annuus (common sunflower) is the source of this 741-nucleotide long non-coding RNA. RefSeq lists it as uncharacterized. The transcript is spliced from 5 exons. Lineage: Eukaryota; Viridiplantae; Streptophyta; Magnoliopsida; Asterales; Asteraceae. The record is from RefSeq and is a predicted model, not a curated record.